This 479-nucleotide ribosomal RNA is filed under the name uncultured bacterium. Its description in RNAcentral is "partial 16S ribosomal RNA". It matches the Rfam family "Bacterial small subunit ribosomal RNA", at positions 28 to 507 of the family's 1533-position model. The record is from RNAcentral.
GAUGAACGCUAGUGGGAGGCCUAACACAUGCAAGCCGAGCGGUAUUGUUUCUUCGGAAAUGAGAGAGCGGCGUACGGGUGCGUAACACGUGUGCAACCUGCCUUUAUCUGGGGGAUAGCCUUUCGAAAGGAAGAUUAAUACUCCAUAAUAUAUUGAACGGCAUCGUUUAAUAUUGAAAGCUCCGGCGGAUAGAGAUGGGCACGCGCAAGAUUAGCUAGUUGGUGAGGUAACGGCUCACCAAGGCGAUGAUCUUUAGGGGGCCUGAGAGGGUGAUCCCCCACACUGGUACUGAGACCCGGACCAGACUCCUACGGGAGGCAGCAGUGAGGAAUAUUGGUCAAUGGGUGCAAGCCUGACCCAGCCAUCCCGCGUGAAGGACGACUGCCCUAUGGGUUGUAAACUUCUUUUGUAUAGGGAUAAACCUACCCUCGAGAGGGUAGCUGAAGGUACUAUACGAAUAAGCACCGGCUAACUCCGUG